CGGGAUGUAGCGCAGCCUGGUAGCGCACCUGCUUCGGGAGCAGGGGGUCGCUGGUUCGAUUCCAGUCAUCCCGACCA
RNAcentral lists this transfer RNA (77 nucleotides) under Desulfuromonadales bacterium. Its description in RNAcentral is "tRNA-Pro". It matches the Rfam family "tRNA". Rfam says of the family: Transfer RNA (tRNA) molecules are approximately 80 nucleotides in length. Their secondary structure includes four short double-helical elements and three loops (D, anti-codon, and T loops). Further hydrogen bonds mediate the characteristic L-shaped molecular structure. tRNAs have two regions of fundamental functional importance: the anti-codon, which is responsible for specific mRNA codon recognition, and the 3' end, to which the tRNAs corresponding amino acid is attached (by aminoacyl-tRNA synthetases). tRNAs cope with the degeneracy of the genetic code in two manners: having more than one tRNA (with a specific anti-codon) for a particular amino acid; and 'wobble' base-pairing, i.e. permitting non-standard base-pairing at the 3rd anti-codon position. The record is from RNAcentral. RNAcentral also lists the same sequence under 1 other name. Lineage: Bacteria; Pseudomonadati; Thermodesulfobacteriota; Desulfuromonadia; Desulfuromonadales.